Molecule: transfer RNA, 74 nt
Filed under: Pseudomonas phage vB_PsyM_KIL1
Lineage: Duplodnaviria; Heunggongvirae; Uroviricota; Caudoviricetes; Vandenendeviridae
Rfam family: tRNA
About the family: Transfer RNA (tRNA) molecules are approximately 80 nucleotides in length. Their secondary structure includes four short double-helical elements and three loops (D, anti-codon, and T loops).
Source: Rfam by way of RNAcentral
AUCUCCAUAGCUCAACUGGACAGAGCAAGGGUUUUCUACACCCAAGGUUGAGGGUUCGAAUCCUUCUGGGGAUA